UAUUAACUGUAUGGAGUAUUCCAUCAAGAACAGCAAUGACAAUAAAUAAUAUAGCACCUAAUGGAAAGUGAUAUUAUGCAAGAGAAUGAUUUUUAAGUCUUCAAUCCAAGUGAUAUUGAAUCAGAAAGAAAGACAGGCGGCAAAUGAAUAGGUAAUCCUUAAAAUAUAGAGGUAAAAUACAAAUUUGUAAAGACUUCUUAAACGUGAAGAAGGGAAAGAUGAAGGAAUGAACUUGUCAAGAUUGGUGUAGAUAACGUUCCUCCGAGUCUAAAACGAGACUAAUCGCAUGAUUAAAAUAAGAUAUAUUCUCAAUUUUACUUACAGUCAUUGUCUUUACAGUAGAUGUGGUUGUUUAGUUGAUAGAACGUCGGAUUUCUUUGAUACUCUACAUAUACAGUACAGUAUUGAGUGUUAGUUGGUGAAAACAUUCCUUCAGAAAAACUCUCAGAUAUACCUACCAGAGCU
Vespula vulgaris is the source of this 465-nucleotide long non-coding RNA. RefSeq lists it as uncharacterized. The transcript is spliced from 3 exons. NCBI's taxonomy places the organism in Eukaryota, Metazoa, Arthropoda, Insecta, Hymenoptera, Vespidae. The record is from RefSeq and is a predicted model, not a curated record.